UACGGAGGAUGCGAGCGUUAUCCGGAUUUAUUGGGUUUAAAGGGUGCGCAGGCGGAUUUUUAAGUCAGCGGUCAAAUCGUGGGGCUCAACCCCAUCCAGCCGUUGAAACUGGGGAUCUAGAGUGUGCGAGAGGUAAGUGGAAUUCCUAGUGUAGCGGUGAAAUGCGUAGAUAUUAGGAGGAACACCAGUGGCGAAGGCGGCUUACUGGACUGUAAAUGACGCUGAGGCUCGAAAGCGUGGGGAGCAAACAGG
RNAcentral lists this ribosomal RNA (252 nucleotides) under uncultured bacterium. Its description in RNAcentral is "partial 16S ribosomal RNA". It matches the Rfam family "Bacterial small subunit ribosomal RNA", at positions 524 to 776 of the family's 1533-position model. The record is from RNAcentral.